AGCGAACGCUGGCGGCAGGCUUAACACAUGCAAGUCGAGCGGGCCCUUCGGGGUCAGCGGCAGACGGGUGAGUAACACGUGGGAACGUACCCUUUGGUUCGGAAUAACGCUGGGAAACUAGCGCUAAUACCGGAUACGCCCUUUUGGGGAAAGGCUUGCUGCCGAAGGAUCGGCCCGCGUCUGAUUAGCUAGUUGGUGGGGUAAUGGCCUACCAAGGCGACGAUCAGUAGCUGGUCUGAGAGGAUGAUCAGCCACACUGGGACUGAGACACGGCCCAGACUCCUACGGGAGGCAGCAGUGGGGAAUAUUGGACAAUGGGCGUAAGCCUGAUCCAGCCAUGCCGCGUGAGUGAUGAAGGCCUUAGGGUUGUAAAGCUCUUUUGUCCGGGACGAUAAUGACGGUACCGGAAGAAUAAGCCCCGGCUAACUUCGU
RNAcentral lists this ribosomal RNA (432 nucleotides) under uncultured bacterium. RNAcentral's name for it is "partial 16S ribosomal RNA". It matches the Rfam family "Bacterial small subunit ribosomal RNA", at positions 29 to 506 of the family's 1533-position model. The record is from RNAcentral.